CCUAUCUCAGGCAAAAUAUUGAUCAUGCUGGAACUGUCACAUCAGCUCUGGGACAAAAGCUUUGCCUCCAUAACGGGUUGAACUGGUACCACGACCUCCAUCGAGAGGCCUUUGGAGCCACUGGCCUACAGGAAAAAAAAUCCAACCUCUAGCAUAACUCACAGGACCACAGUCUUGACGAGAAGAGAUAACAAGCGAGACAACAAACCAAAAUGACAAAAAGUGAUCUGGGAAACCAGCCAACACACCAUUUGGGGAUUCGAGAAUGCUGAAGUGUUCAGCGGUACAGCCUUCCUUUCACAACAGCCAAAAAGUGGAAACAACCCACAUGUCCAUUGACGGACGGAUGGAUAAACAAAAUGUGGUCCAUGCAGUGGAAUAUGAUUCAGCCAUAAAAAGGGCUGAAGCCCUGACACGUGCUACAGUAUGGAUGAACCUUGAAAGCAUCAUGUCCUGUGAAAGAAGGCAGACCCCAAGGACAAAAACUGUAUGAUUCUAUUUACAUAAAAUACCCCAAAUAUGUAAAUUCAUAGAGACAGAAAGUAGAUUAGAGGUUGCCGAGGGCUGGGGGAGGGCAAAAUGGGGAGUUAUUGCUUAAUGGGGACAGAGUUUCUGUUUGCGAUGAUGACAAAAAGAAAUAGACGGUGGUGAUGGUUACACGACAGGUGGAUGUGUGAAUGCCAUUGAACUGCACACCUAGAAAGGAUUUACAAGGUAAAUGUUAUGUCAUGUGUAUUUUAUGGCAAUUUUUUUUAAAUGGGAAGAAAAGUGGCCUUUCUGCUCUUGGUGUAUGGAACUCCCCUCUCCACACUGGGGA
This is a long non-coding RNA of Lagenorhynchus albirostris (white-beaked dolphin), 817 nucleotides long. RefSeq lists it as uncharacterized. The transcript has 3 exons. NCBI's taxonomy places the organism in Eukaryota, Metazoa, Chordata, Mammalia, Artiodactyla, Delphinidae. The record is from RefSeq and is a predicted model, not a curated record.